AAGUUACCGCGUGAGCGAUUGCAGCGGCAUCCUUUUUUUGCAAAAAAAAGAUAUAGCGGAAAGCGCGGUCUUCA
Molecule: small RNA, 74 nt
Filed under: Flavobacteriaceae bacterium 3519-10
Lineage: Bacteria; Pseudomonadati; Bacteroidota; Flavobacteriia; Flavobacteriales; Flavobacteriaceae
Description: Flavo-1 RNA
Rfam family: Flavo-1 RNA
Source: Rfam by way of RNAcentral